Molecule: ribosomal RNA, 250 nt
Filed under: uncultured bacterium
Lineage: Bacteria
Description: partial 16S ribosomal RNA
Rfam family: Bacterial small subunit ribosomal RNA
Source: RNAcentral
UGGGGAAUUUUGGACAAUGGGCGCAAGCCUGAUCCAGCCAUUCCGCGUGAGUGAAGAAGGCCUUCGGGUUGUAAAGCUCUUUCGGACGGAAAGAAAUCGCCCGGGUAAAUAAUCCGGGUGGAUGACGGUACCGUAAGAAGAAGCACCGGCUAACUACGUGCCAGCAGCCGCGGUAAUACGUAGGGUGCGAGCGUUAAUCGGAAUUACUGGGCGUAAAGCGUGCGCAGGCGGCUACAUAAGACAGGUGUGA